This 362-nucleotide ribosomal RNA is filed under the name uncultured bacterium. RNAcentral describes it as "bacterial SSU rRNA". It matches the Rfam family "Bacterial small subunit ribosomal RNA", at positions 536 to 896 of the family's 1533-position model. The record is from RNAcentral.
AAGCGUUGUUCGGAAUUACUGGGCGUAAAGGGCUCGUAGGCGGCCAACUAAGUCAGACGUGAAAUCCCUCAGCUUAACUGGGGAACUGCGUCUGAUACUGGAUGGCUUGGAUUCGGGAGAGGAAUGCGGAAUUCCAGGUGUAGCGGUGAAAUGCGUAGAUAUCUGGAGGAACACCGGUGGCGAAGGCGGCAUUCUGGACCGAUAUUGACGCUGAGGAGCGAAAGCCAGGGGAGCAAACGGGAUUAGAUACCCCGGUAGUCCUGGCCCUAAACGAUGAAUGCUUGGUGUGGCGGGUAUCGAUCCCUGCCGUGCCGAAGCUAACGCAUUAAGCAUUCCGCCUGGGGAGUACGGUCGCAAGGCUG